GAGCGCCGGUCCGCCGCUGCGGCUGCUCUGCGUUGGCGGCCGGCGCAUGCACGGUGGGCAGCGCAUGCGCAGCGGCGGGGAGCAGCAUGGCGGCGAGCAGGGUCAGCGUUUUCGCUCGGCGGCGGCGGCGGCGGCAGAUGAGAGCAGAGGCCGCCUGAGGUCGAGGAUCUGGGGUCCCUGGGUAGUCCACUGAAGGGGGACAUCUUGAAGAGAAGCAGCUAGACCUAGUGAUCCAGUUGUUGAUUUUGGUCAUCACCUGUGAUGCCAGCAUCCAAGCGUAAGAGGAAUCUAGGAGCUGUAUCAAAAAGGUAAUAGGUUUGAAGCAGCGAUGGGCAAAUCAAGUGCUAUGAUUCUUCCGCGUAGCUAAAGACCGAGAGACUUGUCGGUUAAGCGUGUGUAUACAAGGGUUUGAGAAAGGAUACUGAACAGUAACAAUAAUACUGAAGCAGAAUAAAAAUCAGGUUUCAUGGAAGAUGGUGUAGGUAAGUAUUAGGUGAUGUGCCUGCCUGUCUAAUAACCUAGCCCUAAUUGCUGUACGUCAUGUUUCCAAACUGUUUACCCUGUAAAGCAUGAUGCAAGGUGCUGUAUUAAGACCUUUCCUUUAAGGAAAAGGAAAGGAAAAAAAAAAAGAAAAAAAAAAAGAAUACGGUAAAGAGAAAAAGAACACGCAUAAAUCUAAGUGUUUCACGGCCAAUGAAAUGCAAGUUUCUCUCUUUGUUACAGAGAUGGAACCAAUGAUAGCAAAUGCUGAUGAAGAGAAAAGCUGGACAAACAGGGUUUUGGUGAUUAAUACCAAAGGGACGGAAUGAAACAAGGAAGCAAAAAUACAGCUCAGCGGACCCUUGAUAUCACCAGAAACUGCUGCAGCGGGAGAUAUUCUGGCAUGGGUAACUAAGAUUGAUUGCCAUGGCUGAAGUUGAAGAGACCAGAAAAACGUCAGCAAGCUGAAGUAAUGAAAUCAAAUGGAAGCAACUGAGAGCUGUCUCCAUCGCCCAAAAAGGGAAAGCCCGUUCCUCCUGGCGAGGAAGGAUCACCAUUAAUAGCGAUUGGAAUAAUAGAUCACCAACAUAUAACGGAAGCAGACCGUGGUGGAAGUUACUAGAAAGGAGUCAGGAACGGAACUGGAACAAGGAACGUGAGGCUGCUUUCACUGGACUGGAAGAAGUGACCGUAAAAUCUGCUGCCCUCAAAUUCCCAGGACAAGGCAAGCCUUUUUCAGUAACGCUUUCCACAUCUGCUGAGUCUGUGGGAGCAGCACCGUUCGAAAACAGCGGUAAG
RNAcentral lists this long non-coding RNA (1278 nucleotides) under Apteryx owenii (little spotted kiwi). RNAcentral's name for it is "lncRNA (ENSAOWG00000010186.1)". The record is from RNAcentral. Lineage: Eukaryota; Metazoa; Chordata; Aves; Apterygiformes; Apterygidae.